Mya arenaria is the source of this 1016-nucleotide RNA transcript. RefSeq lists it as uncharacterized. The transcript is spliced from 3 exons. The record is from RefSeq and is a predicted model, not a curated record. NCBI's taxonomy places the organism in Eukaryota, Metazoa, Mollusca, Bivalvia, Myida, Myidae.
UAUUUUCUAAGAUCAAAGCGAAGUCAACUUCGCCGACUUUUUCAAAGAUCAAAAAGUCGAUAUCGCUAAGAACUAACGCUUGUCAAAACAGAGCGACUCCGCCUCCCGCCUGUCAGCUCGAUUGACAAACAGCCAAUCGUGUUAAACCUAGUAAAUAUGCUCCAUUGACUUCAGCCAAUGAGAACGCUUGUUUUAUUCAAUCGAGGCACGUGUUUGCACCAUUGACUUUGUGUACAUGUGCUACGUCAUCGAUGUAAUAAAAUUGUAAGGGAUUAAUAUUUACACUUGCCGAUGUUUGUAAAUGUCAAUUUGUGCCAAUUAGGAUUUAUACUUUAUGACAAUAGCGGUUUAAAUGAUGUGCACUGAUGACAAAUGAACUUAAUUGGGUGUGAUUAUCGCGAAGUUAGCGAGAAGGGCAAGUGCGAAUCACAGUUCCAGUUGGUACAACGAAGAUGCAGAUAAAAAUUGGCACUGCGAAGUUUGUAGAGGUGCUAAGUUGGACAACGCCUACGCCCGUGGACAUGACCAACCAGCAAAAACAACCAAUCAUCAGAGACAUGGCUUGUCAAAUCAGCACAAGGCCGCCUUGGAAAAGACAGUUCUGAGUUCCCAGGAACCCAUGAAGAAAAUUGUACUGGCCAAACUGUCCAAGGAUGACAAGCUUGGGGUCAAGCUCCUUAAGACUGCCUACCACCUGGCCAAGCCGGAGCUCCCCAAGGUGGAAUUUCAGUACCAUCUCCAGCUUGCCGGGGCCAUAGCUCCUGUGCUGAUCUCGGCUGACCUUGAGACCUACAUUGUGUAGACUGAUCAAGUGUAUAGUGCUUCUUGUUUUGAGAACUAGGAUGUGAUGAUAUAUUGACUACUUUUUUGUUUUUUACAAUUGUCAUGUUGUUUGAUUUCAGCUAGUUUUGUUUGUAUUUAUUAGCUUAUUUUAUUUAUUUAUCAUGUAUUUAAAUUCAGAUAUAUAUUUAUGUGUGCAUGAUAGGUUUGCAUGUAAUAAAAUGUUUGAAACUUGA